Non-coding RNA from Camelina sativa (false flax), 1138 nucleotides. Lineage: Eukaryota; Viridiplantae; Streptophyta; Magnoliopsida; Brassicales; Brassicaceae. The record is from RefSeq and is a predicted model, not a curated record.
UCACCUUCUCUUCUCAACCUAGCCGUCACACUUCUUCUUCCUCACCCAUAUUUUUUUCUUCACCGAUUUACUUUUUCUUUUUCCCGUUUUUCCCUCUUUCUCUCUUCUAAAUCAAAGAUUUUGUUCCUCAUAUCAACACAACCACUCAACAAUGGACUAUGAAGCAUAUCGUUCUCGUCAAAACCGCUCCACCCAAAACCGAGAAGAACCCAGUGGUUCUGGGGCUGAGUUUCAAACCCCCUCCACACGAGCUUUGGGAUCGCUUACAGCUGCCUCACCUCCUAUCCUAAUGACCAUAGAGUAUUUCGUUUCUCAACCGAAAUGAGAACUUAUCCCAAAACUCCAUCCCAACUACAUCGGAUAUGCUACAUGAUCAAACUUUUGUAGGUUUGAGGCAUCUGGAAACGCCAUUAGCAAAUCUCUAAACUAGAUGAUCAAUCGAGGUGGCAAAGGGCAAGCAACGCACAACGCCGGGUCAACAAGCUUCUAUACCCGUGGAAAACAACUUGUAAGUUUCAACAUUUUGUAGCACAGUUCAAAACUUAACUUCAAUGAAGAUUAAAACUAAAAUUUGUUUUAAAGACUAAAAGAGAUGGUGUGGCUCCUGAUCACUUAACGUUGAUGGAAAACACCCACACCAACAAGAAGACCAAACAAAUUCAAGACCCCUUAGCUAAAGAAGUGAUUGAAAAUUCUCGUAAGAGGAUGGAGGAGUUUAGCUUAUCUCAACCUUCAGUCGAUGGAAAUGGCUUACCAACACCAGUCCCCGUCGAUUCUUUUGAUUAUCUCAACCUUCAUUCUUUUGAUACAUUUUGCUUAUGAUUCUUUUUAUACAUUUUGCUUAUUCUUAACAAAUGUUGACUUUGUGCUUGUUUAUCAUCUUCAUCACCAAUAUAUGAUCGUGAUCCUGAGCUUGUUCGAGCCCUCCAAGAGAAAGAUGACCGUAUUGAAGCUCUUGAGAAGAUGAUAGAAAAAGAGAAUGAGAGGAACAAGCUGAGAGAUGAGGAGCUUGCAUCGUUUAUGGCAGAGAUGCGAUCAAAGUUCCCGGUGAAUUCAAGUUCUAAGACCUAUUUUCACAAUAUUUAAGUUUCAGUUUCUAUUUCUAUUUCUUUUUUAUUUGUGUAUAUUGCAUUUUAUU